This 71-nucleotide microRNA precursor is filed under the name Daphnia magna. RNAcentral describes it as "Dma-Mir-276_pre stem-loop". Lineage: Eukaryota; Metazoa; Arthropoda; Branchiopoda; Diplostraca; Daphniidae. The record is from RNAcentral.
AGCGAGGUAUAGAGUUCCUACGUCUUGUCACUGAUUUCAAGUCGAUCGGUAGGAACUUCAUACCGUGCUCU